This 350-nucleotide long non-coding RNA is filed under the name Citrus sinensis (sweet orange). Its description in RNAcentral is "long non-coding RNA (CSIN_LNC000143)". Lineage: Eukaryota; Viridiplantae; Streptophyta; Magnoliopsida; Sapindales; Rutaceae. The record is from RNAcentral.
UUAUCAAUAAAGUACGAUCUAUAUUGUUGGAAGUACAAGCUUUCUUUUCAGGUAAACCGUAUUUUUCAUUUAUGAGAAUUAAAGACUUGAUCUGUACUGUGAAGAUGGAGAUGCUAUAUCAAUUUCUUUUGUCAUCCAAGUCCUUGAUGAGAUCUUAUGUAAAAUCAAUACUUAAACUUCUACUUGUUAAUUAGCCUUGUAUUGUCAAUGGAUUUUCAUUAAAGGAUCCAAUAAGGAUAACUAAACUUACUUUUAGCAUUGUUGAAGCAUAAUAUUUUUAAAAGCAUGCAAGUAAUAUUAACAGGACGGUCAUAGUGUAUUGCUAAUCCGUUUAUAUUUAACUUUAUCUU